Molecule: ribosomal RNA, 506 nt
Filed under: uncultured bacterium
Lineage: Bacteria
Description: partial 16S ribosomal RNA
Rfam family: Bacterial small subunit ribosomal RNA
Source: RNAcentral
AGUGAACGCUGGCGGUAGGCCUAACACAUGCAAGUCGAACGGCAGCACAGGAGAGCUUGCUCUCUGGGUGGCGAGUGGCGGACGGGUGAGGAAUACAUCGGAAUCUACUUUUUCGUGGGGGAUAACGUAGGGAAACUUACGCUAAUACCGCAUACGACCUACGGGUGAAAGCAGGGGAUCUUCGGACCUUGCGCGAUUGAAUGAGCCGAUGUCGGAUUAGCUAGUUGGCGGGGUAAAGGCCCACCAAGGCGACGAUCCGUAGCUGGUCUGAGAGGAUGAUCAGCCAAACUGGAACUGGGACACGGUCCGGACUCCUACGGGAGGCAGCAGUGGGGAAUAUUGGACAAUGGGCGCAAGCCUGAUCCAGCCAUACCGCGUGGGUGAAGAAGGCCUUCGGGUUGUAAAGCCCUUUUGUUGGGAAAGAAAUCCAGCUGGUUAAUACCCGGUUGGGAUGACGGUACCCAAAGAAUAAGCACCGGCUAACUUCGUGCCAGCCGCCGCGGUAA